UGAGGAAUAUUGGUCAAUGGACGCAAGUCUGAACCAGCCAUGCCGCGUGCAGGAUGACGGCCCUAUGGGUUGUAAACUGCUUUUAUUAAGGAAUAAACCCCCGAACGUGUUCGGGGCUGAACGUACUUAAAGAAUAAGCAUCGGCUAACUCCGUGCCAGCAGCCGCGGUAAUACGGAGGAUGCAAGCGUUAUCCGGAUUCAUUGGGUUUAAAGGGUUCGCAGGCGGCGUAUUAAGUCAGUGGUGAAAUCCCUCGGCUCAACCGAGGAACUGCCAUUGAUACUGGUAUGCUAGAGUAUAGUUGGCGUAGGCGGAAUGUAUCAUGUAGCGGUGAAAUGCUUAGAUAUGAUACAGAACACCGAUCGCGAAGGCAGCUUACGAAACUAUAACUGACGCUCAGGAACGAAAGCGUGGGGAGCGAACA
Molecule: ribosomal RNA, 422 nt
Filed under: uncultured bacterium
Lineage: Bacteria
Description: bacterial SSU rRNA
Rfam family: Bacterial small subunit ribosomal RNA
Source: RNAcentral